CCUACGGGAGGCAGCAGUCGAGAAUCAUUCACAAUGGGGGAAACCCUGAUGGUGCGACGCCGCGUGGGGGAAUGAAGGUCUUCGGAUUGUAAACCCCUGUCAUGUGGGAGCAAAUUAAAAAGAUAGUACCACAAGAGGAAGAGACGGCUAACUCUGUGCCAGCAGCCGCGGUAAGACAGAGGUCUCAAGCGUUGUUCGGAAUCACGGGGCGUAAAGCGUGCGUAGGCUGUUUCGUAAGUCGUGUGUGAAAGGCGCGGGCUCAACCCGCGGACGGCACAUGAUACUGCGAGACUAGAGUAAUGGAGGGGGAACCGGAAUUCUCGGUGUAGCAGUGAAAUGCGUAGAUAUCGAGAGGAACACUCGUGGCGAAGGCGGGUUCCUGGACAUUAACUGACGCUGAGGCACGAAGGCCAGGGGAGCGAAAGGGAUUAGAUACCCUGGUAGUC
This 446-nucleotide ribosomal RNA is filed under the name uncultured bacterium. Its description in RNAcentral is "partial 16S ribosomal RNA". It matches the Rfam family "Bacterial small subunit ribosomal RNA", at positions 338 to 795 of the family's 1533-position model. The record is from RNAcentral.